GUUUUAUUUAGUUCUUUUUAGAAGAAAUAAAAACUAAAACAAAAUCAAGCAAAGCUCCCUAAGCCUUCCCAGCAAAGAAAGAAUCAAAACUGAACAAAAACUCUACAAAAUCUAUGAAGGAACCCCCAAACCAAGCUCUUGGUAUUGACAAGUUGUGUGUGAUUCAAAGAAUAUUUGAGUUAAUCUUAUUUAUUUUUCAAACAAGGUAGAAGGUACUGUAUAGAGCUUACAUUAUUUUUAGAACUUAAUUUAGGAUUGUACUGUCACUUUGGUGAGUGUGUAUAUAUAUAAUUUUAUAAACUUGGCUGUACAAUGUGCAUUUUAAAGCCUUGUGUAAAGGUCAGGUGCAUCGAGUCUGAUGCUAUUUAAACUUACAUUUUAUCCACAAAAUGUUAAAAAUAAGUAUUGGCUAUGAAGUAUGCUGUACUCUUAAUCAAUAUCUGCUGAAUAAUUUCACAGGGAUGAUAAUAUACCAGGGUGUAAUAAUGUACCAGUUAGUGCUCAUGCAAAUGAUGCCUCUCUAGAACUUCAAAGCUUUAGAGUGUACUUCAUUUAAUUGUCUCAUUUUAAAAUCAUUUCCUGCAGUAAGAAUGUAGGAAAAAAACCAAGUUUACAAUGUCUGUAUUCAGUAAGGAAUGAGAAACACAAAUUUGCUAAUGCUGUGUUGAAUUAACAACCCUUGAAAGCAAAAUGCUUUUAUUUUUUAUGUGUUCCUCUUCUUCCUCCUCUUCCUGUUUUUCUGUUGUGCUAUAGUGGGUAUGUAAGUCUCUAGAACAGGCUAACUGGGACAAAUCCACUCAAUGGACACAAGUUUAGGAAUCAAUUAAGAUACCUGAUUAUGGGAUUGUAAAGGUGUAUUCUUCAUAGUUUUGGAUUAAUGUGAGUUUCCAUCAGUGUCACGAAUCAGAAAUUGGACAUGCCAGAGACUUACUAUGUCUAGGGGCAUACUGGAGUUUUCAUCAGAGGCUGAUUUACUAGUUUUCCCUUCUGAAAACGUGCAUGCAGAAAAAAACCCGCAGAAAACAACUGAAGCAGCUUGGAUGCCAAGGCAUUUGAAAGGAAUAGAAGUCCAGACAUGUACUACUACUGUUCAGGUAGUGCUGCUUUUUCCUUAAGCACUUCUUUCAGCCUUAUGCCGUUACUAUUCAAGAUAUAAUGUGGUUGGUUUGGGAACACUUGCAGACCUAGUGAAAUUAUUAAUCAUAUUUGAGAAGUUUGAGAAGGAACUUAGGGCAACUAUGCAUGAUUUUACAUGGAGGGAAAAAUGAGCCAUGGUAAUGAAUAAAAGCCUUUAAAUAUUUAAGCCUUAGAAGAUUCUAGGCUGGUAGUGUGUGUUGAAAUGGGGCUGUACUUGAUCUGAGAGCAAAAGGAGCUGCCUGCAAAAGAAACUGACUGGUGGUAGGGAGAAUUGAAUCUGGAAAGUGAAAGUGCUCUAAUGAAAUGAGAUGCAGUUCUGCAAUCUGGGUCUUGUUUCUGAGCUUACAUCUCCUUUGCCGUAGUGUGAAUUGGACCUGUUGAGUAGUGAUAGGUAACAUUCAUUUUCGUGACUGAGACUAGAACCCUUCCCCUUUAAUGGUUUUCAGACUAAGCUGGGUUUGAAAUCUGUUUCAGCAGCUUAUCAUGCUUAAGGUCAUUUGAAAUUAAAAUACGUACUUGUGUUCAGUGCAUCCUGAAAAUUAUUUGGAAGCUAGCUGUGGCCAGUCAAGCAAGUAGAUGCAUCUUCUCAUUCACAGAAUUUCACUGGUUUGCAAAACUUAUAUCUAAGGUAACAGGAGGAAAAAGUCUCAUAAGAUAAAACUUGGAGUGUGUAUAACUGUAUCAACCACAUAGUACUGCAGGAACAGGUCCUAACUGUUCUUCCACUACUUCCUUUCCUUUUCCCCUUUGAAGAUUACAGGAGUCUGCUGAAGGAUGUGUCCUGCAUACUUGUCAAGUGCUUCUUACCCAAAGUAGUUCCUUUAAGAAGGAAUAGCACAUAAAUCCCUGAUUUAAUAGAGAUUAUAAUUUUCUGUCUUCAUUCCCUUUAUGGAAAAUAACACUGCUGGCAAUCAAAAACAUAUUGUGGGUAAGUAAUGCAGAUUCAAUAAAUGUUCUAGUGCAUGUGAGAGCAAACUACUAGUCUUUAAAAAUGUUGGUUUGAGUACCUCUUGCUACCAUUUUCACUUUUAGUCUUUUCCUGAGAUGGAAUUAUUGCAAAGAGAAGUAAACAAAGUCAUAAUUUUUAUUUUCUUCCUUAUUGGAG
Long non-coding RNA from Melospiza melodia melodia, 2242 nucleotides. RefSeq lists it as uncharacterized. The record is from RefSeq and is a predicted model, not a curated record. NCBI's taxonomy places the organism in Eukaryota, Metazoa, Chordata, Aves, Passeriformes, Passerellidae. The transcript has 3 exons.